AUACGGAGGAUGCGAGCGUUAUCCGGAUUUAUUGGGUUUAAAGGGUGCGUAGGCGGACGAUUAAGUCAGCUGUGAAAUGCCCGCGCUUAACGCGGGGAGUGCAGUUGAUACUGGUUGUCUGGAGUGCCGUUGCCGUGGGGGGAAUGUGUAGUGUAGCGGUGAAAUGCAUAGAUAUUACACAGAACGCCGAUUGUGAAGACACCUCACGAAGAGGUAACUGACGCUGAGGCACGAAAGCGUGGGGAUCGAACAGGAUUAGAUGCCCUGGUAGUCCACGCAGUAAACGAUGAUGACUAACCGUCGGCGAUAGACCGUCGGUGGCCAAGCGAAAGCGAUAAGUCAUCCGCCUGGGGAGUACGACCGCAAGGUUGAAACUCAAAUGAAUUGACGGGG
RNAcentral lists this ribosomal RNA (393 nucleotides) under uncultured bacterium. RNAcentral describes it as "partial 16S ribosomal RNA". It matches the Rfam family "Bacterial small subunit ribosomal RNA", at positions 523 to 918 of the family's 1533-position model. The record is from RNAcentral.